GAAAGGAAAAGGGAGAGGCUUUUGUAUUGGAUGGUUGGUUAUAUAGGUCAUAACCAUGUUCAAGCAACUUUCUGUGCUUGAGCUUAUAAAUAAAAUAUAUGAUCUACCACUGUUGCAAGAAACAUCAUCAUCUCAACUCAACUCAACUCCAAAAAUAUGACACAGUCUGCACCAGCAGAGCAGAAGAUGCACUAUGGUCAAGCUCAGACGGGUCGUGAGGAGAUGGGAAGCUUCUAUGCUUUUUUUUACACACUCUGUUGCUGCUUUUGCUGUUAUGAGGGUUGUAGGUGCUGCUCAGAACGCACCUGCUGUUGCUGUCCCUAGAUUGCCUAAUUUCCAAGAGACAUUUGUCAAGUUUAUGUUUCAUCAUUAGUUUCUUGUAUGAAAUGAUGAUUCUGUAAUCAAUCUUCUGUAUAAUAAUGAACUUCAAUUAUUUUUACUUUUUAUGAAA
Long non-coding RNA from Vigna unguiculata (cowpea), 451 nucleotides. RefSeq lists it as uncharacterized. The record is from RefSeq and is a predicted model, not a curated record. Lineage: Eukaryota; Viridiplantae; Streptophyta; Magnoliopsida; Fabales; Fabaceae.